UAACCUGCCCAUUGGGUUCUAAAAGGCCGCGGUAUUAUGACCGUGCAAAGGUAGCAUAAUCAUUAGUCUUUUAAUUGAAGGCUAGAAUGAAUGGUUGGACAAGAAAUAAUCUGUCUUAAAUUAAUAUAUUGAAUUUAACUUUUAAGUGAAAAGGCUUAAAUAUUCUAGAGUGACGAUAAGACCCUAUAAAACUUUAUAUUUAAAAAUAAUAAUUAGUUUUAUUUAAGAAUUUUAUUUAGAAAUAUUUUAUUGGGGUGAUAAAGAUAUAAAUUUAAAUAACUGUCUUCUUUUUUUACAAUAAUAUUUGAAUUAAUGAUCCUAAAAAGGAGUAAAAGAUCAAGUUACUUUAGGGAUAACAGCGUAAUUUUUUUUAAGAGUUCAUAUCGACAAGAAAGUUUGCGACCUCGAUGUUGAAUUAAAAAAUCUUUAUAGAGCA
RNAcentral lists this ribosomal RNA (436 nucleotides) under Pacifastacus connectens. Its description in RNAcentral is "partial 16S ribosomal RNA". It matches the Rfam family "Bacterial large subunit ribosomal RNA", at positions 1854 to 2557 of the family's 2925-position model. The record is from RNAcentral. Lineage: Eukaryota; Metazoa; Arthropoda; Malacostraca; Decapoda; Astacidae.